This 1010-nucleotide long non-coding RNA is filed under the name Zalophus californianus (California sea lion). RNAcentral describes it as "lncRNA (ENSZCAG00015009851.1)". Lineage: Eukaryota; Metazoa; Chordata; Mammalia; Carnivora; Otariidae. The record is from RNAcentral.
AUGGAUCAAUGGGGGGGGGGUGGCCGCGGUGGCCCUGGAGGUGUUAAAAAGGUGGGUCCCAGGGAGUGUUUGAAGUGGGACAGCAGGAGCAGGAAGAAGGGAGAGGGCAUUUUCACAAUAGCUGGGUGGCCCCCUGGGACACAGGCCACCAGCGCUCCAGCUAAAUUUCCAUAUCCGCUUUCAGCCCCAGGAAUUAAUGGAGGACUUCGUGGGGUUCCUCCCCCUGGAUGCAUUCCCACGGCGGUUAAUUGUUGCUGUCCGGCUGGGUGGCCGAUGGCGCUAGUGAAAAGGGUCUACGGUGCAGUCCCAGAAGGUCACAUGAUGGCGACGAGAGCAAGCGAGGGGAGAGGCCCCAGCGGAUGCCGCCGCACUCCCGGCCACCAGGCGCGCGUGGGGGCCGUUGGUCUGACAGCUGCUGAGGGCUUCGGCUGCCUGAAAAGCCAUUUGCUCUGGCCUGCCCUGUCUGGCCAACUUCUAUGUAUUUAAAGGAUCCUCGCUGGUCUCUGAGCACCGCCCCCCCAUCUCCAUCUGAAUGGUCAGGCGCAGCGACCCUCUCUGGGAGGGCCAGGAGCCUCCCCGGAGACCUUCAGUCCCUCAUCUGCCUCCCCACGGCUGUCGUAACCUGCACAGUAGUGGAGAUCGGCUGGCAAUUCCUAAAUUAAGGUUCUGUUUACUCUGCUGUUCCAAAGGCUUGUUUUGAGCAAGAUGUUGUGCUUUAAUUAAAAAGACGAGAGAGCUCAUGAGUAAGUGAAAAUAUUUUUGAAUCUUCACAGAAAUGUCUGAAUUGGGUUUCUUGUGUUUCACAGUGAGGGGGGGUCAGGCUGGUCAGCACUUUUAUCUGGGGGACCACUGAAAACUCGUGCUAUAAGCUGACAACGGGCUCUUCUGCACAGUAGACUUGGGGGGGUACCCUAAGUCAAAAAUGCGUCCCUGCUGCUUCGGCAGGGUUAGCCGGCAUCCACGUGUAGUGAGGACACAUUCCUCCUUUACCUUCCCAGCCAGAGGCUUCC